This 451-nucleotide ribosomal RNA is filed under the name uncultured bacterium. RNAcentral's name for it is "SSU rRNA". It matches the Rfam family "Bacterial small subunit ribosomal RNA", at positions 26 to 518 of the family's 1533-position model. The record is from RNAcentral.
AGAGCGAACGCUGGCGGCAUGCUUAACACAUGCAAGUCGCACGGGCAGGGGAAACCCUGUCAGUGGCGGACGGGUGAGUAACGCGUAGGAAUCUAUCUCUGGGUGGGGGACAACCGUGGGAAACUACGGCUAAUACCGCAUGACACCUGAGGGUCAAAGGCGCAAGUCGCCUGGAGAGGAGCCUGCGUACGAUUAGCUUGUUGGUGGGGUAAAGGCCUACCAAGGCGACGAUCGUUAGCUGGUCUGAGAGGAUGAUCAGCCACAUUGGGACUGAGACACGGCCCAAACUCCUACGGGAGGCAGCAGUGGGGAAUAUUGGACAAUGGGCGAAAGCCUGAUCCAGCAAUGCCGCGUGGGUGAAGAAGGUCUUCGGAUUGUAAAGCCCUUUCGACGGGGACGAUGAUGACGGUACCCGUAGAAGAAGCCCGGCUAACUUCGUGCCAGCAGCCGC